CGCGGGAUUUUACUCGCUACUCGCAUCCUGUGUGAGUACGAUUGAUAAAUAGGGGAGAAUAAUGAUGUUACCUUAUUAAUAGUGUCGUCCAAAGCUGGUGCCAGAAGACUCGGUAAGGCCAGAGACGCAAACGUUAGUCGUCCUAAUCAGGCGUAAAGGGUUUGUAGGCAGCUUUGAAAUUUUUCUUUUUUAUAUAGCACUAACUUAAAAUACAAAUUAUUAUAGUUAAUUAAAGGAGUUAAACAAUUAAAGCUAGAAUCAAAUAGAGGUUAUAUUAAAUAAUACUUAGUGUAGGGCCGAUAUCCUUAGAUACUAAGGGGAAUAUUAAGGGCGAAAGCUUUUUUCCACUAAUGAUUGACGCUGAGAAACGAAGGUGAGGAUAGGAAAUAGGAUUAGAUACCCAAAUUACCCCUCUCUGUCAACGAUCAAUGGUGGCUAAUAGUGAACCAUUGGAGGCGAUGUUAACACGAUAACCAUUCCGCCUUGUGAGUACGACUGCAAAGUGAAAACAAAAAAAUUAGUCGUCUCGAGCAUCAACAAGC
Molecule: ribosomal RNA, 542 nt
Filed under: Bondarzewia tibetica
Lineage: Eukaryota; Fungi; Basidiomycota; Agaricomycetes; Russulales; Bondarzewiaceae
Description: SSU rRNA
Rfam family: Bacterial small subunit ribosomal RNA
Source: RNAcentral